Molecule: ribosomal RNA, 655 nt
Filed under: uncultured bacterium
Lineage: Bacteria
Description: bacterial SSU rRNA
Rfam family: Bacterial small subunit ribosomal RNA
Source: RNAcentral
GUGCCAGCCGCCGCGGUAAUACGGAGGGUGCAAGCGUUAAUCGGAAUUACUGGGCGUAAAACGCACGCAGGCGGUCUGUCAAGUCGGAUGUGAAAUCCCCGGGCUCAACCUGGGAACUGCAUUCGAAACUGGCAGGCUAGAGUCUUGUAGAGGGGGGUAGAAUUCCAGGUGUAGCGGUGAAAUGCGUAGAGAUCUGGAGGAAUACCGGUGGCGAAGGCGGCCCCCUGGACAAAGACUGACGCUCAGGUGCGAAAGCGUGGGGAGCAAACAGGAUUAGAUACCCUGGUAGUCCACGCCGUAAACGAUGUCGACUUGGAGGUUGUGCCCUUGAGGCGUGGCUUCCGGAGCUAACGCGUUAAGUCGACCGCCUGGGGAGUACGGCCGCAAGGUUAAAACUCAAAUGAAUUGACGGGGGCCCGCACAAGCGGUGGAGCAUGUGGUUUAAUUCGAUGCAACGCGAAGAACCUUACCUACUCUUGACAUCCAGAGAACUUAGCAGAGAUGCUUUGGUGCCUUCGGGAACUCUGAGACAGGUGCUGCAUGGCUGUCGUCAGCUCGUGUUGUGAAAUGUUGGGUUAAGUCCCGCAACGAGCGCAACCCUUAUCCUUUGUUGCCAGCGGUUCGGCCGGGAACUCAAAGGAGACUGCCAGUGAUA